Molecule: non-coding RNA, 1887 nt
Organism: Leptonychotes weddellii (Weddell seal)
Lineage: Eukaryota; Metazoa; Chordata; Mammalia; Carnivora; Phocidae
Source: RefSeq, a predicted model, not a curated record
GCUGCAUUCUCCCCCACUUCUGUCUUAGGUCCGCGGCACCAGGAUGGUUGGUUCUGAAAUGGUGGUGACAGUUGAGUUUACCAAUCCUCUAAAAGAAACUCUGCGGAAUGUGUGGAUACACCUGGAUGGUCCUGGACUGAUGAAGCCAAAGAGGAAGAUGUUCCGUGAAAUCCAGCCCAACUCCACUGUGCAAUGGGAAGAAGUGUGUCGACCCUGGGUGUCUGGCCGUCGGAAGCUGAUAGCCAGCAUGACCAGUGACUCCCUGAGACAUGUGUAUGGCGAGCUGGAUUUGCAGAUUCAAAAACAACCUUCUGCAUAAAUGCACAGGGGGGUGAGAUGGACCGGGGUACUGGGCCUCUUGUAGUCUUGGCUAAGGAAAUUCUAAUGCAAAAUAUAGUCAACUCUUGCUUUAACUUGGGUAUGAAGACCCAGCCAGGACUACACGGGGCCCCAGGGUAGAAACGCCAUGUAUUUCAAAGACUACUUUUCAAUGUGACUAUUCAAUAUGGAAGUUAGUUUUUAAUCACUCCACCUUCCAAAAGAUUCUGAGCAUUAGCUUUAAUUAAGCUCUAAUUAAGUUCUCAUGGCUCAUAAGAGUAGAAGUCAUCAUUUAUCAUCACAAAUGGCUACAGCUCCAAAUAUCAGAGGAUUUCCCUUAACAAGGGGAUUUGCUCAAUACCUGGCUUCAUGUAAAACAAGACUCUGAUCUCCCACUCAGCCUUUUGGAGGUAAUAUACUCCCCAAAAGGGAGAGAAGCACAUGAUUUGGGCCCUAGAAUUCUAUUCCCCUUUCUUUGGAAUCAACUCUCUGUGUCAGAAUAUUUUUCCCAGGUAGUGAGAACAACAUCAUUUUUCUUCUUGGCAAAGCCAGGGCAAGGUCUUUCAUCUUACACCUGCGGCAAAGCAACUGCCUGCCAAAUUUCACAGAUUUACCUUGUGAGAAGAUAUGGCCCCAUAUUAACAAAUUGCAUUUGUGGGAAACUUAAUCACCUAAGAGGAGAUAAGAUAGCAGGUGCAAUACUCAGAUCUAUUAAAUAAUGGAGUUUUAUGGUGCCUUCUAUAAGAGGUGUCACACUGUGGCCUGAUCAGCAGGAACCAAUAUCCUUUACUUUAACUCUUUUGGGGCCACAGGACUAGAAAGUAACAAGGCUGACUUGGGACAGGAAAAAUGAGGAAUUAGUCUCUUUUAUUAGUGAUUAUAUUUCAAGAUCUGUCUCUCUGGGAUCCUCUCUUUCACACAAUGAUGUCCAGGUACAUUUUUAGAGAUAAAACAAGCCCUAUGAGUUGGAGAAUCUGGCAGAUUUAGUGGCCAGACAUGUAGAAGGAUGGGCAGCCACUAAUUCCCUGUUGUCCUUCAUAUCACUCAUGUUGAGACCUCAGCUCAGGACACAGAUGCUAAAAGGUAAUACAGAGUCCAUUUUGCAAGUAGCCAAUGCUAACACAGACCCAAUGACAGAAGAUGUUGACAUCAUUUGUGUUAUGCUCCAAGGUUCCAACAGGCAAGGCUAUCUGCGAUUUAUCUGCAAGGCUGAUUUAUGAUCAAAAUUAUCCAUUGAUAUGCCUAGGGUAUGAUUCUUAGCAAAAACAAAAACAAAGUGGGAAAAGCCAGAAUGAAAUUUUCGGAUCUGCAUAUCCACAUUUCUAAGCCUUUGAGACUAUUCCGGGCACCAGGGAUCCAUGAGGGUUAGUGGUCACCUCCAUAUGUGCAUCAUACCUAAUUCUAUUAAGUAAUUAAUAAUCCCAGCAUUUGCCAAGCUUUCCAAUACUCAAUUUUAAAAUGAAAUGCAUUUUGCUAUAUGGUUAAACUGGCUUAAUAUAGUAUAUGCUUAUUAACUAGAAUGUAAUCAAAGCUUCAAAUAAAGUUAAUGUGAUUAUGUUUGCAUCUGCA